UACAGAGGGUGCGAGCGUUAAUCGGAGUUACUGGGCGUAAAGGGCGCGUAGGUGGUUAGUUAAGUGAGUUGUGAAAGCCCUGGGCUUAACCUAGGAACUGCAACUUAUACUGGCUGACUGGAGUACAGUAGAGGGUGGAGGAAUUUCCGGUGUAGCGGUGAAAUGCGUAGAUAUCGGAAGGAACACCAGUGGCGAAGGCGGACACCUGGACUGAUACUGACACUGAGGCGCGAAAGCGUGGGGAGCAAACAGG
Molecule: ribosomal RNA, 253 nt
Filed under: uncultured bacterium
Lineage: Bacteria
Description: partial 16S ribosomal RNA
Rfam family: Bacterial small subunit ribosomal RNA
Source: RNAcentral